RNAcentral lists this ribosomal RNA (468 nucleotides) under uncultured bacterium. Its description in RNAcentral is "partial 16S ribosomal RNA". It matches the Rfam family "Bacterial small subunit ribosomal RNA", at positions 28 to 507 of the family's 1533-position model. The record is from RNAcentral.
GACGAACGCUGGCGGCGUGCUUAACACAUGCAAGUCGAACGGAAAGGCCCUGCUUUUGUGGGGUGCUCGAGUGGCGAACGGGUGAGUAACACGUGAGUAACCUGCCCUUGACUUUGGGAUAACUUCAGGAAACUGGGGCUAAUACCGGAUAGGAGCUCCUGCUGCAUGGUGGGGGUUGGAAAGUUUCGGCGGUUGGGGAUGGACUCGCGGCUUAUCAGCUUGUUGGUGGGGUAGUGGCUUACCAAGGCUUUGACGGGUAGCCGGCCUGAGAGGGUGACCGGCCACAUUGGGCCUGAGAUACGGCCCAGACUCCUACGGGAGGCAGCAGUGGGGAAUAUUGCACAAUGGGCGGAAGCCUGAUGCAGCAACGCCGCGUGCGGGAUGACGGCCUUCGGGUUGUAAACCGCUUUCGCCUGUGACGAAGCGUGAGUGACAGUAAUGGGUAAAGAAGCACCGGCUAACUACGUG